RNAcentral lists this ribosomal RNA (407 nucleotides) under uncultured bacterium. Its description in RNAcentral is "partial 16S ribosomal RNA". It matches the Rfam family "Bacterial small subunit ribosomal RNA", at positions 30 to 526 of the family's 1533-position model. The record is from RNAcentral.
AUUGAACGCUGGCGGCAGGCCUAACUCAUGCAAGUCGAGCGGAGCGGCGGUCGGGCGAGUAAUGCUUAGGAUUCCGCCUGGUAGUGGGGGAUAACGUCCGGAAACGGGCACUAAUUCCUCAUUCUUUAACAUCAGCCUAGGUCGGAUUAGCUAGUUGGUGGGGUAAAGGCCUACCAGGGCGACGAUCCGUACCUGGGCUGAGAGGAUGAUCAGUCACAAUGGAACUGAGACACGGUCCAGACUCCUACGGGAGGCAGCAGUGGGGAAUAUUGGACAAUGGGCGAAAGCCUUAUCCAGCCAUGCCGCGUGUGUGAAGAAGGUCUUCGGAUUGGAAAACACUUUAAGUUGGGAGGCGUUACCAACAGAAUAAGCACCGGCUAACUUCGUGCCAGCAGCCGCGGUAAUUC